AAAGAAACCAACAGGGAUUGCCUUAGUAACGGCGAGUGAAGCGGCAAAAGCUCAAAUUUGAAAUCUGGCGCCUUCGGUGUCCGAGUUGUAAUUUGAAGAAGGUAACUUUGGAGUUGGCUCUUGUCUAUGUUCCUUGGAACAGGACGUCACAGAGGGUGAGAAUCCCGUGCGAUGAGAUGCCCAAUUCUAUGUAAAGUGCUUUCGAAGAGUCGAGUUGUUUGGGAAUGCAGCUCUAAGUGGGUGGUAAAUUCCAUCUAAAGCUAAAUAUUGGCGAGAGACCGAUAGCGAACAAGUACAGUGAUGGAAAGAUGAAAAGAACUUUGAAAAGAGAGUGAAAAAGUACGUGAAAUUGUUGAAAGGGAAGGGCUUGAGAUCAGACUUGGUAUUUUGCGAUCCUUUCCUUCUUGGUUGGGUUCUCCGCAGCUUACUGGGCCAGCAUCGGUUUGGAUGGUAGGAUAAUGAUUAAGGAAUGUGGCUCUACUUCGGUGGAGUGUUAUAGCCUUGGUUGAUACUGCCUGUCUAGACCGAGGACUGCGUCUUUGACUAGGAUGCUGGCAUAAUGAUCUUAAGCCACCCGUC
Molecule: ribosomal RNA, 579 nt
Filed under: Debaryomyces hansenii
Lineage: Eukaryota; Fungi; Ascomycota; Pichiomycetes; Serinales; Debaryomycetaceae
Description: eukaryotic LSU rRNA
Rfam family: Eukaryotic large subunit ribosomal RNA
Source: RNAcentral